This 470-nucleotide ribosomal RNA is filed under the name uncultured bacterium. RNAcentral's name for it is "partial 16S ribosomal RNA". It matches the Rfam family "Bacterial small subunit ribosomal RNA", at positions 28 to 523 of the family's 1533-position model. The record is from RNAcentral.
GACGAACGCUGGCGGCGUGCCUAACACAUGCAAGUCGAGCGGACGACUUCGGUCUUCAGCGGCGGACGGGUGAGUAACACGUGGGCAACCUGCCUCAUAGAGGGGGAUAGCCUCCCGAAAGGGAGAUUAAUACCGCAUAACAUCAUGCUCACGCAUGUUAGUAUGAUCAAAGGAAUAAUCCGCUAUGAGAUGGACCCGCGGCGCAUUAGCUAGUUGGUGAGGUAACGGCUUACCAAGGCGACGAUGCGUAGCCGACCUGAGAGGGUGAUCGGCCACAUUGGAACUGAGACACGGUCCAGACUCCUACGGGAGGCAGCAGUGGGGAAUAUUGCACAAUGGGCGAAAGCCUGAUGCAGCAACGCCGCGUGAGUGAAGAAGGCCUUCGGGUUGUAAAGCUCUGUCUUUUGGGACGAUAAUGACGGUACCAAAGGAGGAAGCCACGGCUAACUACGUGCCAGCCGCCGCGGUAA